UAAUUAAGUAAGGAAAUUGCUUA
Molecule: non-coding RNA, 23 nt
Filed under: Arabidopsis thaliana (thale cress)
Lineage: Eukaryota; Viridiplantae; Streptophyta; Magnoliopsida; Brassicales; Brassicaceae
Source: RNAcentral